UGGGGAAUUUUGGACAAUGGGCGAAAGCCUGAUCCAGCAAUGCCGCGUGUGUGAAGAAGGCCUUCGGGUUGUAAAGCACUUUUGUCCGGAAAGAAAUCCUUGGCUCUAAUACAGUCGGGGGAUGACGGUACCGGAAGAAUAAGCACCGGCUAACUACGUGCCAGCAGCCGCGGUAAUACGUAGGGUGCAAGCGUUAAUCGGAAUUACUGGGCGUAAAGCGUGCGCAGGCGGUUUGCUAAGACCGAUGUGAAAUCCCCGGGCUCAACCUGGGAACUGCAUUGGUGACUGGCAGGCUAGAGUAUGGCAGAGGGGGGUAGAAUUCCACGUGUAGCAGUGAAAUACGUAGAGAUGUGGAGGAAUACCGAUGGCGAAGGCAGCCCCCUGGGCCAAUACUGACGCUCAUGCACGAAAGCGUGGGGAGCAAACAGGAUUAGAUACCCUGGUAGUCCACGCCCUAAACGAUGUCAACUAGUUGUUGGGGAUUCAUUUCCUUAGUAACGUAGCUAACGCGUGAAGUUGACCGCCUGGGGAGUACGGUCGCAAGAUUAAAACUUAAAUGAAUUGACGGGGUCAUAGCUGUUUCCU
Molecule: ribosomal RNA, 585 nt
Filed under: uncultured bacterium
Lineage: Bacteria
Description: partial 16S ribosomal RNA
Rfam family: Bacterial small subunit ribosomal RNA
Source: RNAcentral